GCCUGCCUUCCUCACAUCCAUGGCAAUACCAUUCGGUACUUAACUUUUCCCUGGAGCUUUCAAUAUCUUUAUUCAAUUUGGCACGACUUUUGUUCUCCUCGGUAAAAAGAUCUCUAGUGACUGGAGUUCCUUUGUAGUUUAGAGCUUUUUUUCGAUUUUUUUUAGGUUUUUUUCAUUAGUUUUUACUGGUGUGGGCAAAAGCUUAUUAAAAGAAGUGACUUUUGUUGUUCGUCUCUUUAAUUCAGCAAGAGGGAUAUGGUCAUCAGUCGAAUCCGAGUCAGAAGAGUAAACAUUGGAAUAGGAAAAUUUGCCAGACUUGUUGGAUGCCAUUCCAGACGGACCAGGUUGAGGAGAUUCAGGUGGACGCCUAUUUUCUUUGUUGGUAUCAUCCGGUGCCGGUACGUCUGAGAGAAUUGAAGGAGCAAAUGCUGUUUGUGGAAUUGCCUCGGGAUUUAAUGGAAACAGACCAGUAGCCUUAAAACCGUUUAUAAUGUUACUAUGUGUCAUGCAUUUAGACCAAACAUUUGAAAGUAUGAUGUUAAAACGUGAUUUGGUCAGCUUUUUGUUAGGAUUCUGAUCCAAGAAUAAUAAUACCUCAUUAUCCCAAUGAUGCUCAAAUGAACGAUAUACAGAUUUGUCGAGGGGUUGAAGCUCAUGUGUUGUAUUCGAUGGCAAACAUUAGAUAUCUAUAUCAAGUGAGUCUCCAACAUCAACAAUUGACAAAUCAAGAUGACAAGCUGCACCAUCAAAAACUAAGAGGCACCUUCCUGGACUUUUGUAUCGGGCUAAGUGCUUGAGGAAUUCUUUAAAAAGUUCGUUAGUCAUGUAGCCUUUACUUGAUUUUUCCACUAGAGUUCCUGGUGGCAAAUUAUCAUGUAAUUCUGGCUUUAGCCUCUUUCCUUUAAAAAUAAUCAUAGGAGGUAUUGGUAUUCCAAGGGUAUUGACACAUCCUGCAAUUGUCACACUCUCUGCAUGUUCUGACGAUUGAAAGUGAACACGUUUUAUCCCUUUCUUAGCUAAAACGGUUGGCUGGUGGUGAAUAGUCAAGCGGAAUCCUUUUUCAUCCAUAUUAUAAAGUCUUUCAGGAAACUACAGGAUUUCGCUUCAUAAAAGCCUUUAGCCAGUCUUUACCAGCAUGUUUUGAAGUUGUAUUAAAUUGAUGAACAAUUUUAUUAUCUUCGCAGAAUCUGAAUACCAAUCGACGAAGGAUCCGUGGAGUCACAGGUUCUUCUGGGAAUAUUAAACCUUGCGGCAGCCCCAUAUGUACUCAGAGUACCGCGUUGAACAGAUCAAACUGCUGAUAUUAAAUCCUCCUCGCACCAAGGUGCCCUUUUAGGAGGCAUGAUGUUAAAAAUCACUGAAAAUAAAACGAGAGUAGUUUAGAAGUUUAAUAAUAUGUUAAUAAAAACAUUAAUUUGUCAUGAGGAUAAUAAGGCCUAUAGCUUAUUUUUAUAGGCCUUAUCCCGGUACCCAUCCAUGACGAAAUAUUAUGUAAAUUUAUUUAAAUUAUG
Molecule: long non-coding RNA, 1511 nt
Organism: Anthonomus grandis grandis
Lineage: Eukaryota; Metazoa; Arthropoda; Insecta; Coleoptera; Curculionidae
Exons: 3
Source: RefSeq, a predicted model, not a curated record